Molecule: long non-coding RNA, 681 nt
Filed under: Brassica rapa (field mustard)
Lineage: Eukaryota; Viridiplantae; Streptophyta; Magnoliopsida; Brassicales; Brassicaceae
Description: long non-coding RNA (BRAP_LNC008549)
Source: RNAcentral
GACAGGAAAAACGAUAGCCGGUUAGUCACCGCACAAUCCUUAAACCGAAAGUAAACCCUAGGUCUUUCCCUAAACCCAGCGCACUGGUCUCUAACAUCUCAAAGGCAUGAUAUCGAAAGAUAAGAGAUUCUUAAACCACGCCUCUAUGUUUACGUUCGACACCUUCAGCACCCCCGCAGAGUUCACAUCUCACGGAAGAACUCCCGAAACAGGCCUCGAACAAAACAUUCCACAAAUCGAAGAAGGAUAUGAGACGACAACUCAUCACCUUCCUCCCCACUAUUCACAAAUUCAUAAGAAAAACGUUAUCCGAUUAUCAUACGAUAAAGCCGCGGAGCGACAGGGAUUCAAAGCCACACACGGCCAGUCCCGAAAUACAAACAAGGCCAUUCAAGGCCGAAACAUAAAGACAUAAAAAAAAAAAACAUCUCUCGCAAGAGAUCUAACCCAAGUCACCCUCAGAACUUACGCCCCCUCUUCACCCGCCGCCUCGUCCGAGCCUGGAGCCGCGUCGCUUCCGUUCUCUCCGACCAUCGGAUCUUUCCCCUCUGGGUCUUCUGAACACGUCGGAAGGAAGCAAGCGGAUUUUAGGUCGGCCAGGAUGAGACCGAAAUCGCCAUCCUCGGCCGCCAUAUCUCCCUUGCAGCCGGACAGUCGGGCCUCUUCGGCCUCCAAGGUCGG